Molecule: ribosomal RNA, 460 nt
Filed under: uncultured bacterium
Lineage: Bacteria
Description: partial 16S ribosomal RNA
Rfam family: Bacterial small subunit ribosomal RNA
Source: RNAcentral
CCUACGGGCGGCAGCAGUGAGGAAUAUUGGUCAAUGGACGAGAGUCUGAACCAGCCAAGUAGCGUGAAGGAUGACUGCCCUAUGGGUUGUAAACUUCUUUUAUAUGGGAAUAAAAUGUUCCACGUGUGGGAUUUUGUAUGUACCAUAUGAAUAAGGAUCGGCGAACUCCGUGCCAGCAGCCGCGGUAAUACGGAGGAGCCGAGCGUUAUCCGGAUUUAUUGGGUUUAAAGGGAGCGUAGGUGGAUUGUUAAGUCAGUUGUGAAAGUUUGCGGCUCAACCGUAAAAUUGCAGUUGAAACUAGCAGUCUUGAGUACAGUAGAGGUGGGCGGAAUUCGUGGUGUAGCGGUGAAAUGCUUAGAUAUCACGAAGAACUCCGAUUGCGAAGGCAGUUCACUGGACUGCAACUGACACUGAGGCUCGAAAGUGUGGGUAUCAAACAGGAUUAGAUACCCGAGUAGUC